UCUGAUCAUCUUCUGAUCUAUAGUUUCAAAUCAUUCACUGUGUUUUGUAUUUUUUAAAUUAUGAUUAAAACAUUUUCAGCCAAAUUCUAAAAACUUCUGUGGCUUUUAGGACAAAGUUUCUGCAGAGCAACAGGAGUUCCUUAGAAUUUCGUGGAUUGGAGCGUAGAUGUAAAGCAACCCCGCCCCCCUUCCCCUUCCUGUUGCAGAGGGCUCGGAGCAGGGACACAAGCAUUUUCACAUUAUUUUCCUUUUUCUGUUUGAACAAAGAAAUUCCCCAGAAAUGCAAUUUUUGUGCUACUUUUCUGUAUAUAUGGCCUCCAUUAUGAGGAAAAUGCCACAAGAACAUGUUGAAAAUACUAAAAACACAUUUUUUUUCCCAGAAUUGGAUGUUUAAGUUUGCUAAGAAAUCAAACGUUCUUCCACCGUUUCACUUGACAUCCACUCAGUUCUGGAGAUGUUUUCUGUUGUUUUUCUGUCACAGCAGAUUCAGAUCUCAGCUGCUUCUGCUUGAGCUAAUGAGUUCCUCUGUGUCUCCUCAUGGCUCCAGCCUUCAGGUUCUCUCUGUUUUGUGAACUUUGAGCAGCUUUCACUCUUGAUGACUGUAACUGUGCCUGAUGAGAACCAAACAGGAAGUGACUGCUGAAGGAUCAGCCAACAUGGAGAUGAAGAGUCGCGCGGGGAGGAAGGUGAGAUGGCAAACCUCUCCAGCACCGUUUGAAGCUGAACUGGCAGCAGCAGAUCAGAGGAUGGGAGAAUGGGAAUGCAGAGAAGAGCAGCGCUAUGCCGAGACGGGGGAAGGAGAGUGGACGGUUCAAGAAAAAGAUCUUUGCACGCUGAGAUGGGUUGUCCUCAGGAAAGCCUUUUUAGUUUUACACCACAAACACAAUUUCUGCAACGGUGGAGGCUUCCAUUUGUUUACUGUUGACACGAAAAAGUCCUCAUUUGACUGAUUUUGCACAACAAGACAUUAAAUAUAUUUAUAAUUUUU
Molecule: long non-coding RNA, 988 nt
Organism: Oryzias latipes (Japanese medaka)
Lineage: Eukaryota; Metazoa; Chordata; Actinopteri; Beloniformes; Adrianichthyidae
Source: RefSeq, a predicted model, not a curated record